AAUUAUUGCAAAUAAAAUUUUUUAUUUGAAGUUAAAAUGUUAAUAUUAAAUUUAUAAUUAAAUUUAUUAGGUUAAAUUUUAAAUUUAAAAAAUUAUUUAUGUAAAGGUUAUUUGAAGCUUAGAAAUUUUUUUAAUAAACUAGGAUUAGAUACCCUAUUAUAAAAACAUAAUUUAAAAAGGAUAGAGUAGUAUUAGUUAUUUUCUUAAAACUUAAUAAAUUUGGCGGUAUUUUAAUCUAUUCAGAGGAACUUGUUUUAUAAUUGAUAAUCCUCAUUAAAUCUUACUUAAUCUUAUUAAUUUGUAUAUCGUCGUCAUAAGAAUCUCUUAAAAAAGGAAUAAUUUUCUUAAUAAUUUAUUAAUUAAAAUGUCAGAUCAAGGUGCAGUUUAUGAUUAAGAAAAAAUGAGUUACAAUAAAGUUAUUUAAAUGGAUUUUAAAUUGGAAUAUUUAAAUGAAGGUGGAUUUGAUAGUAAAAUAAAUUAUAGAGUUUAUUUGAUUUUAGUUCUAAAAUAUGCACAUAUCGCCCGUCGCUCUCGUUUUUAAAAUGAG
RNAcentral lists this ribosomal RNA (547 nucleotides) under Brachyradia asiatica. RNAcentral describes it as "partial 12S ribosomal RNA". The record is from RNAcentral. Lineage: Eukaryota; Metazoa; Arthropoda; Insecta; Diptera; Mycetophilidae.